CUCUCCUUCUCUGUGUCUGCAAACUUCACCACCAGACUAGAAGAUGCACCCUGAGGGGAUAAAGAAAAUCCUGGUUCUCAAACAACAUCAAAUAAAAAGAAACUGAGAAGUCUUGAGAGGUGUGAUUGUGGGAGGAAUCCUGAAUGUGACCGUGAACGGAACACUAACACUAACCGGGAGAGUGCGGCUGCCGUGUAGAGCGCUAAUGGCCGCCUGCGCUUCUGCGUUACUCUGGAAAAGCACACACCCACGCGGGAUUGGGGAAGUGAUGGGAUUAAGCACGCUCGCUGGCUAAUCUGGAUUACAGACGCACGGCAGAUUAAAACGGUUGUCCGUCACAGCGUUGGCACGGCAGAUGGCCUAACAGCUAAUCAACGACUUCUGAGAGCGACAUGAUCGCGGAUGCCUUCAAGGAUUGUGCCCUCCUACAUACCUAAUUAAAGUCUGUUCAGUCAACACAGAUUUUCACAGAUCCUGUCUCCUGAACCAUAUAAUGUGUUGUUUCCACUUUUAGAAAUGACUUCAUGUUCCUCAGCCUUGUUAGAAGGCUUUAUGAUAAAAGAUUUAUCCUAUAUGUAGUCUGCUAUAUAUAGGCAAAUGGAAGUGUUUGUCUGGCUUAAAUAAAUCUAUUUUUUAUACAGCCCGUUCACAUUAUUAAC
Molecule: long non-coding RNA, 659 nt
Organism: Onychostoma macrolepis
Lineage: Eukaryota; Metazoa; Chordata; Actinopteri; Cypriniformes; Cyprinidae
Exons: 4
Source: RefSeq, a predicted model, not a curated record